GCGCCCUCGCCGCGGGUGAAGGAGAAGUACAUCGAGGCUAAGAAGAACAUCUCGGUGUCGGUGACGCGGUCGAGGCGGAGGGCAUAGUUCUCCUCGUCGGCGCCGCCGGAGAGGGUAUGGAGGCGCUGGAGGACGCGCUUCCGCAUCUUCUGGUGGGCGUCUUCCAGGAGGAGGGCGCCGGGGCGGCGGCGGCGGUGGGGGUCGUCGGAGUCGCGGGGCUCGCG
RNAcentral lists this unclassified non-coding RNA (224 nucleotides) under Hevea brasiliensis (rubber tree). Lineage: Eukaryota; Viridiplantae; Streptophyta; Magnoliopsida; Malpighiales; Euphorbiaceae. The record is from RNAcentral.